AUGUUUUAUCAGGCUUCGACAAUUCAAGUGUGGAAACAAAAGGCGACGUAACUCUAACGACUUAUGUUGCAGGUAUUAUUAAAGAAACUAAAUUUCAGGUAGUUGAUAUAGAAAUGGCCUAUAAUAUAAUUAUGGGGAGACCAUGGAUCCAUGAUAUGGAUGCUGUUCCAUCAACCUUACAUCAAGUUAUCAAAUUUCCAUCACCCUAGGGAAUAUNNNNNNNNNNNNNNNNNNNNCCUAUAAUAUAAUUAUGGGGAGACCAUGGAUCCAUGAUAUGGAUGCUGUUCCAUCAACCUUACAUCAAGUUAUCAAAUUUCCAUCACCCUGAGAAAUAUGUCAAAUUCGAGGGGAUCAGCAAACAGGCAGGAGUAUCAACGCAGUAACAGAUACGAGUACCGCCUGUAAAGAGAAAUAGCAAUUACUGGAAGCAGUUGAAGGCAUCAGCAACCAAACUUCAAAUGAAAAAAUGGAUUUAGAUUCAAGACCUGAUGUAACUCAAGAACCUGAAGAAAAUGAGAAUAUCAGAACGACAAUAGAGGAACUCGAGACUAUGGUGUUA
Molecule: long non-coding RNA, 559 nt
Filed under: Nicotiana benthamiana
Lineage: Eukaryota; Viridiplantae; Streptophyta; Magnoliopsida; Solanales; Solanaceae
Description: long non-coding RNA (NBEN_LNC004525)
Source: RNAcentral